UAAUACGGAGGAUGCAAGCGUUAUCCGGAUUUAUUGGGUUUAAAGGGUGCGUAGGCGGGAGAUUAAGUCAGUGGUGAAAUCCUGCAGCUUAACUGUAGAACUGCCAUUGAUACUGGUUUCCUUGAGUAUAGUUGAAGUGGGCGGAAUGUGUAUUGUAGCGGUGAAAUGCUUAGAUAUUACACAGAACACCUAUUGCGAAGGCAGCUCACUAAACUAAUACUGACGCUGAGGCACGAAAGCGUGGGGAGCAAACAGGAUUAGAUACCCUGGUAGUCCACGCCGUAAACGUUGAUUACUCGAUGUGUGCGAUACACUGUACGCGUCUGAGCGAAAGCAUUAAGUAAUCCACCUGGGGAGUACGAUCGCAAGGUUG
RNAcentral lists this ribosomal RNA (373 nucleotides) under uncultured bacterium. Its description in RNAcentral is "bacterial SSU rRNA". It matches the Rfam family "Bacterial small subunit ribosomal RNA", at positions 521 to 896 of the family's 1533-position model. The record is from RNAcentral.